Molecule: ribosomal RNA, 253 nt
Filed under: uncultured Eubacteriales bacterium
Lineage: Bacteria; Bacillati; Bacillota; Clostridia; Eubacteriales
Description: uncultured Clostridiales bacterium partial 16S ribosomal RNA
Rfam family: Bacterial small subunit ribosomal RNA
Source: RNAcentral
UACGUAGGGGGCAAGCGUUAUCCGGAUUUACUGGGUGUAAAGGGAGCGUAGACGGCUGUGCAAGUCUGAAGUGAAAGCCCAGGGCUCAACCCUGGGACUGCUUUGGAAACUGUGGAGCUAGAGUGCUGGAGAGGUAAGUGGAAUUCCUAGUGUAGCGGUGAAAUGCAUAGAUAUCACGCAGAACCCCGAUUGCGAAGGCAGCAUACCGGUGCACAACUGACGCUCAGGCACGAAAGCGUGGGUAUCGAACAGG